UGACAUUGAUGCCCAGCUACUCCAGUCC
Molecule: small RNA, 28 nt
Filed under: Bombyx mori (domestic silkworm)
Lineage: Eukaryota; Metazoa; Arthropoda; Insecta; Lepidoptera; Bombycidae
Description: ovarian small RNA-31479
Source: RNAcentral